Molecule: non-coding RNA, 11534 nt
Organism: Callithrix jacchus (white-tufted-ear marmoset)
Lineage: Eukaryota; Metazoa; Chordata; Mammalia; Primates; Cebidae
Source: RefSeq, a predicted model, not a curated record
UUUUUUUUUUUUGUUCUUUCCAACUUUUAUUUUAGGUUCGGGGGUACACAUGCACUUUGUUGUGUGGGUGAAUUGCAUGUCAAAGGAGUUCGUUGUACAGAUUAUUUUGUUAUUCAGGUAAUGAGCAUAGUACCCAAUUGGUAGUUUUUCCAUCCUUAUCCUCCUCCCAUCCUCCACCCUCAAGUAGGCCAGAUGUCUAAUAUCUGUUCUUUGUGUCCAAUAUGUACUCAGUGUUUAGCUUCCACUUGUAAGUAAGAACACAGAGUAUUUGGUUUUAUUAUUCACUUAGGAUCAUGGCCUCCAGCUCUGUCUAUGUUUUUGCAAAGGACAUAAUCUCAUUCUUUUUUAUGGCUAUAUAGUACUACAUGUUGUAUAUGUACCACAUUUUCUUUAUCCAGUCCUCCAUUGAUGGGCAUUUCGGUUGAUUCUAUGUCUUUGCUAUUGUAAAUACUUCUUCAGUGAGUAUAACACAUACACAUGUCUUUAUGAUAGAAUGAUUUCUAUUUCUUUGGGCAUAUUCCCAGUAAUGGGAUUGCUGGGUUGAAUGACAGUUUGUUUUAAGCUCUUUAAGAAAUCUCUAAACUGUUUCCACAGUGACUGAACUGAUUUAUAUUUCUCACCAACAGUGUAUAAGUGUUCCAUUUUCUCUGCAGCCUCACCAGUAUCUGUUAUUUUUUUACUUUUUAACAGUAGCCAUUCUAACUGGUAUGAGAUGGUAUCUUGCUCUGAUUUUGAUUUGCAUUUCUCUGAUGAUUAGUGAUGUUGAGAAUUUUUCAUAGGCUUGUUGGCCAUGUGUAUGUCUUCUUUUGAGAAGUGUGUGUUUAUGUCCUUUGCCUAUUUUUUUAAAUAGGGUUUUUUGGGUUUUGCUUGUUGACUUAUUUAAGUUCUUAUAGAUUCUGGAUAUUAGACUUCUGUUGGAUGCAGUUUGCAAAUAUUUUCUCCUAUUCUAUAAGUUGUCCCUUUAUGCUGUUGAUAGUUUAUUUUGCUGUGGAGAAGCUCUUUACUUUAAUUCUCAGUUGUCAAUUUUCGUUUUUGUUGCAAUUGCUUUUACAGUCUUUCUCAUGAAAUCUUUGCCAAGACCUAUGUCCAGAAUGGUAUUUCUGAGGUUUUCUUCUAGGGUUUUUAUAAAAAGAUGAAAUGCUUCAGGAAUUUGCAUGUCAUCCUUGUUCAGAAACCAUACUAAUUCUUCUCUGUAUCAUUCCAAUUCUAUUAUAUGUGCUGCCAAAGCAAACACCAUUGAGGAUUCUUGAGCAGGGUAACAUGAUACAAUAUAGAAAAUGGGGAUUUGGGUGUGUGGUACACACCUAUAAUCCCAGCUAUUCAGGAGGCUGAGGCAGGAGGGUCUAGGAGUUUGAGACCAGCUAGGGCAACACAGUGAGACUUUGUCUCACAAAUGAGUGAAUGAAUGAAUAAAAGAAUCAAAAAAGUGGUAUUAGAGGAAUAUACUUCAGGGAUUGUGACAGUUACAGAAUCUCCUGCAACUAUCAUUGUGGUCAGCACAAUGGGGUCUUCAACCCAAUGAUCACCUCCCCAUUUUAUCCUUCUCCAUCAGCCUUCUUCUCGCUUCACUUCCUGUCUUUCCCAGCUUUAUAACCACACUCCAUUAUUAGUCUGUCUCCUGCAAAAAUCCUGAAGUCCUUUCCCCUUCAUCCUAUCAUUACUCCUUACAAUAUACUCGAACAUAGCUUGACUCUGUCCCCACCAAAAAUCUCAUUUUGAAUUAUAAUUCUCAUAAUCCUCAUGUGUCAAGGGUGGGACUAGGUGGAGGUGACUGGAUCAUGGGGGCAGUUUUCCCCAUGCUGUUCUCAUGAUAGUGAGUGAGUCUCAUGAGAGCUGAUGGUUUUAUAAGUGUCUGGCACAUGCUGCUCUGUGAGGAAGGUGACUGCUUCUCCUUUGCCUUCUGCCAUGACUGCAAGUUUUCUGAGGCCUCCUCAGCCAUGUGGAACUAUGAGUCAUUUAAACGGUCUUUCUGAGCUGGGAUCUAGCAGCCGUCUCCAUGGAGUCACCGAUUCCCAGGGGACUGAGCCCAGCCAGUUUGGCCAUGGCAGCCGCCAUUACUGUGGCGAAUCUGGCCCCUAUGCUCCCUGCCCAUCACUGAGCAGCAUUAAGCAGCCACCCACCUUUCCUCCAGUUCAUGCCACUGAGGCCCAUGCUCCGUGCAAGUUUCUGCUGCUGAAGCAGGAGGACGGAUGUGAGGAGUCAGGCAUCCCCGGCCCUCUGACCCACGAUGUGGGGGUACUUUCUGGCCCUGGAGGCCUGUGGCUGAGACAGCCCCGGCCAAGCCCUCAGCUUCCCUGCCGGCCCAGAUUAUUCAGCAUGGCUCCCUGGUAAUUCAUCACUGUGGCAGGCCACAACUGUUCCAUUUAACCAUCGAAGUAACCAUAUCAGGAGACACAGUGUAGCUUCUGACAGUGGAGACACUGGCAUUGGAACUUCCUGUUCUGAUAGUGUGAAAGAUCUUUCAACUUCAAGUGGCACAUUAUCUUUUAGGCCCAGUCAAUCACUGGUUACUCUUCCUACUGCCCAUGUGAUGCCAUCUAAUUCCAGAGCUUCAAUUUCCAAACUUAGGAAAUCAUUGAUACCAGAUGGCUCAAAAUGGAGUACAAGCCUUAUGCAAAAAUUGGGAAAGCACAGUAGGGAGAGCAUGACUUUAACUAGACAUGAAGGACUUCUGGCCACUUCAGAAAUGGUCAUCUUUUCUGAACUCACUUCCCUGGAUAACUGUGGGCAGGAUAGCACGUUUCACAGACAAGAAUCAAGGAAUGGUUUGGAAAAGACAGGGAGGGGUAAGGCUUUAAUAUCACAACUGAGGACAGUCGGGCCUAGCUGUUUACAUGAUAGUAUGGAGAUGCUCAAGUUAGACAAGGAUAUAAAUUUAAAAAGGUCAUCAACUUUAGACUGCAAAUAUAAAUUUGAGAGUUGUAGCAAGGAAAACUUCAGAGCCUCUUCCUCUACUCUGAGGGGACAGACUGUAGACAUGACAUAUAGUGCCUUACCUGAAAGCAAGCUCAUUAUGACAAGUUCAGAGGCCUUUGAACCUCCAAAAUAGUUAAUGCUUGGUCAACAAUCAGUAGGUGGAGUUCCCAUUCAGCCUUCUGUAAGGACUCAGUUGUGGCUUACAGAGCAGCUGCGGACAAAUCCUUUGGAAGGUAGAACUGCAGAAGAUUCUUACAGUUUAGCUCCUUGGCAACAGCAGCAAAUUGAAGAGUUUUAGCAAGGAAGGGAACACCAAUGAAGGUAAGGCUCAAAAUCUAGUGUUUGCUUCCCUCCAGUGGAUGUUAUGAGUACAAUAGCACACUUGCAGUAAGCAUAUGACAAGUGUCCACAGAUAGUUUUGCUUUUCCCGGCACAUUAAUAAGCAGAAAUGUUACCUGAAAAAUGUUGUGUUGAUAAACAAAACUUACACAGUGUUUGAGACUAAUUAACAUGAAAAUCUUGAAACCUUGUGCUUAACUUGUUCUUUCCUUUUCAUUUGUUAAAUGGGCAUGAAAAUAAAGCAAAACAUACUCAAUCUAAAGAAACUUGGAAACAGAAACAAAAAAGCUAUAAUAGGUUUAAUAGAAAGGGUGCAUCAACUUGGCCAUAUAAGGUCUUAGAUUUUGUUUUUGGUUCCAUUUAGAACCUGGAUGAUUUUUGUCACUUAAUUUCUCUAGGCCUCAGUUUCUUCAUCUGUACUGUGAGAAGGUAGAACUACAGUCAUUUGUGAAGUUUUGGUGAUUGAUAAUGUAUUUAGGUUUGUAAAUCAGAUAUACUUAUUUUUAUAAAUUAUGUGUCAAGACUUAUUCAUUAAUCAGUUUUAUAGAAAGAACUGUAUGAUGAUAUCCUAUAUAAAGAAAAAUAGUAUACAGCCUUAAUUGGUCUAGGGAAUAGCAUGUAAAUGUGUAAAUUUCUUAAUCUGGGAGUGUUUCUAUUUCAAGAUAAUUUCCUGUAGCUUGUUUUAACUAGGAAACUAAUUUUCUGAUAGAAAUACUGUUAUGUCAUCUUUUUUUAAUCAGAAUUUUCUCAAACAAUUCUAUUAAAAAUUUCAAAUUUUCCCUAGAGUAAAAAAUGUAAAAUUGCUAUUCAUUACUACUACUAAUAAAAAUAAAUAGAGUAAAUGAACAUAGUCUAUGAAAGGAUAGGGAAAUCAUUUAUCCAGGAACCUCACAAAUCUGAGUAUGAUUCCAAAACAUAGAACCUAACAUGCUACAUUCAUAAGAGAACACUUAACAUGUUGCAUGUGCCUUCUUUAUUCUUAUUUUAGACCCAGUUCUUAUAAUUUUGAUUGUGUACUUAAACCACAUAAUCAAAACAGAAGAAUCACUUAUGAUCAAAUUACAAAUUUGUGAUUUAUCCAUUCAAGUGAUUAAAAGUAGGAAACCUAAUUUUUCAAAUACUAUCACUUUUUAGUUUUCAAAUGUUUGUUAUUACAGGAAAACUGAGAUCAGGCAGUUGUUUCUCCAGCUGGUAUCUUUGCCUAGAAUUAGAGCUACCCAGUGGGUCUGAGUGUACUAUUCCAAACUAGAGUAGGUGUGAUAGAUAACUGAGAAAAUUGGGCAUGCCUUUUUUUCUGCUUGGACAAAUUUCUGCUUUAAACAAGGUGUUUUUCUUAACCUUAAAGCAGUGCAGAAGAGGGUAUGGAGGUUGCGGACACACUGUAGAGAAAAAUUUGUUUUUAAAUCUUCUUCCUGGUACAUAGUAGAGAGAGAAGGCUACUAACAAGUGAAAUUUAUGUAUCCCUGGAAAGUCGUACUUGUUGAUUAACUUUAUAGUGCUUUUAAAAGUUUUGGAGUAGAAAGAUGAAUUCAGGUAAAGAAAACUAGACAAACUUAAGUUGUAAUGAUUAAAUGACUGCUUUCCUUCUAAUUUCCUCCUUGGAAAACUACAGAAAAAAGUUGUUAAAUACCUUCUUGGAGCCUCCAGUAAUAUUCUCUUUAUUUUAAAAGGUUUCAUCAUACUUGUUUCUUAAAAGCCUCUUUGAAACAUUGACUUCCAUCCAGGCACUAUAACUCAUGCCUGUAAUCCCAGCACUUUGGGAGGCCAAGGCAGGAGGAUCGCCUGAGUCCAGGAGUUUGAGACCAGCCUGGGCAACAUGGUGGUGAUGUACUCCUGUAGUGCCAGAUUCUUGGGAACCAAAGUUGGAGAAUCUCUCGUGCCCCAAGAGUUCAAGGCUGCAGUGAACAAUGAUCGUGUGUCUGCAUUCCAGCCUGCAUGACAGAGUAACCACCCUGUCUGUUGAUAAAAAAAAACUGAUAAAAUAAAUUAAGGUAAAAUGACUUGUUUUUUGUCUAACAUGAAAUAAUAAUGAAAAAGUUUUAUAAUUUGGGAGUGUUUUAUGUAUUCUGUUAUGUCCUCUGAAAAUAAAGUUUUCUUAUUUAAAAAAAUAGAAAUAAAAAAAUAAACAGUUAUUUCUGUUACAAAUUACCCGGUCUUGGGCAUUUCUUCAUAGCAGGCUGAGAACAGACUAAUACUUUUCCAUCACCAAAUUUCAUCAUUGCCACUUUCAAAAUGUAUCUUAAAUGCAUCUGAUUCAGCCUGUCUCCUCCCUCAUUCUUGCCACUGUUGAGUCCUCUUACUUGUUUCCUCACAUCCACUCUUGACUCCCUUUCAAGCCACUCUUCUCUCCGCACCCAGAGGAAUGUUUUUGAAAUAUCCCUCCAAGCAUGUUGUUCUUCUAACUAAAUUGUGUCAGUGAUGACCCAUUGCUCUUGGGGUAGAAAUGUAAUUUUUUGCUGUGGCCCACAAGGGUUUUCAUGGUUUAUCCCCUGCCUGCCUCACCAGCAUCCUGUCACAGCACUCUCCACUUUGUUCUUUACAUCCUGGCCUGCUUUUGGUCUUACACUUCCUGUAGGCUAAACAUCUGUCAGCCUCGGGGCUUCUGCACUGAGAUUUUCCUCUAUGUGAAACACUUUUCUCUCUUUCAAUUAGCCAUGUCUUUCCUAACCUAAGGCCUCAGCUUAAAUGCCAUUUUGCCAGGAAAGCCUUCCUUGAGGUCCUAAACUAGGUUUGGUCUUCCUAUUAUAUAUUUAUAUCCCAUAUUUUAUAGUAGUUACAUUUAUCAUUUAAAUUAUUGUGUAAUUAUCUGCUUCAUGUUUGUCUCCCCAUUAGAGCUAUUAGGUCAUAAGUGCCAUGAGGGUGGAAAUUAUCUCUCUCAUUAACUGCCUGGCAAAGCUCCCAAUACAAAGUUUAUACUUAAUAAACAUUUGUUGACUGGGUUAAAUUAUGCAUAAAGGCAGGUUAUAACAAUAUGAGUUUAGGAAGAUUAUUGUGGAAAUUAGAAAAAAGAAGCAAAUAAAGUGAACAUUGUAAGGAAAUAAUCAGAGAUUGCUAUUGGAUGAUCCAUGGAAAAAGAUAAUCUCACUUCACAAACAUAUAAGGAGUAGGCAAAAAUACUUUUUUUGCCCCUUGGAGCAAAACCCUGAAAGCAAGAUCCUAACAAGUUAAGGAAUGCCUCCCACAGAGAUUAGAAAGACAAAUACUCCAUAAGAAAAAGCUGAGAGAUGGAAGCUCAGUUCUGAAGCCUGAGUUUCAUCCAUGGUCAUAAGCAUCAAUUUUAAGCAGAAUUAAAGCCUCAUUAAAGAAGCCUAAGAAACAUGUUACUUUUUCCAGAUAUUUGACAUUGACCCAAGGUCAGAACUGGUUUCCCACCAUAUACACUAUAACAUUCUUGUCUUUCUCUUUCAUUUAGGGGCCGUUAAGUUUAAUGAUGGCCUGAGCUUAGAGGAGAGUUGCCGCCUUAUUGAAGCUGUGUCCUUGUGCCAGCUGUGAUUCCAGUGUGCUCAUGGGAGACCUUCUAUGUUGCCAUUAGCUGACAUAGACCACUUGGAGCAGGAAAAACACGUACAUUAAUGACUAAUAGGAGCAGAAGGGAGCAAAGUUUAUCUUCACUUUCUUUUCUGGCUUUUACUAUCCAGCUGUAAUCUGUCUUAAUCCUUUCCAAAAUAGGGGAGUUUUGCAAAAUCUGCAUUGGAAGUUUCACAUAAAGCCUCACCUAUUUUCAUCUUCCAGCUCAAAUCCAAAUGACACUUAGACUGAACUGUUAGGUCAUUCACAUAAUGGCUUUGUAUUUUAAAACUUAACAAAUGUACAGACUUACAUAUCCUGAAUACCUGUGGCCUGCUGGCUCUAGGUUUGAUAAGAUGCAGUUCUCCCUGAAGCUACUGAAAGUUGGUAGAAGCACAGCAAAUUCACUGUUGACAUGAUAUAGCCUCAACAUCUGGAAGUGGUAAUCUGUGACUGUAGCUGGCCAUCCCCAUGGAUCUCAAGUUAUGGUUUGAGGAUUAUCAGGCAGGGACCAAAGCCUGGGGAUCUCUACAUUAUGCUUUUGCCCUGAUUACCCAGCAACCUGCAAUCUACAAUGGGGAUAAUGCAGUAAAGGCACAGAGUGGCUUUAAUUAAGAACUUCUGUUCUUGUUACAGUCUUCAAUGAAGGGAACAUGGAGAGCAUAACAGGAAUGCCCCUGUUGCUGCUUUCCAAAAGCUUUUCUUUUGCUAACCUUUCCCUGCGAAGGAAUAUAAAAUCUUUUCUUGCAUGAAGAUUUCAGGUACUAAUGUUUUCUGACUCAACUAGUUGAUUUUACUUCAUUAAAACCUCUUUGUUUCACAAAAAUAUAAGGAAAGUUUUGUCCCCAUUGCUGAAGAGCUGCCAUUGAUCCUUAAAAAAUCUAUAAUCUCUAUUGAAUCUAGAAGUUAGAAAUCUAAAUGGAUUAUAACAUCAUACUUUGAAAAUAUUUGUGAGCUACCUAGAUUUUCAUACUGCUAAUUGAAAUUAUUUCUUCCCAUAGAUUAAACCUAAUCUCACUAAAUUUAGCAAAAUGGUCCAGGCCUGGCUUCUCUUUGAAAAAGCAGAGUGUGAUACAAGGCAGAGCUUGCAGCAAUCCAUGGCUCCCUGUGAGCCAUCAUGAGAACAGAAUCACUGGUCUAAAAGGAACAAAGGGAUGUUCACUGUAUGCCUCUCAGCAGAGAGCAGCAGCAGCAGGUACCAGUACAGCCCUGACUGAAUCAGCCCAGUGUCCCUGAGCAGCUUAGACUGCUGGGUUCUUUGUAUCAGUCUUUCUUGAUCCGAUGAUUCCUCUAGUUGAGUAGCCGUGGAAUUCAAGCCUAAAGACAGCUCAUUCAUUUGCAUCCGUGGACACAGAAGGUUGCCAUAUCAUGUGUACCUUUUGCUGCUUAUUUAAUGAUAAAAUUUAAUGACUGAUCGGUUGCUUGUUGUUUAAAGGUUGUGAUUUUUGUUUUCAUACAGUUUUUUUUGAAGCUUCACAUUUGCGUGUAUCUAAUUCAGCUGAUGCUCAAGUCGAAGGGAUAGUCUGCCUUCCUAGGCUGCCCCCAGGGUGUCUCCAUUGCUCCCCGCUUUUCCCUUCAGUCGUCUUCACUUCCCUGUGCUGCUGCUUCACAUGCUACAUCUCAGGCUUAAAGAGUUUCUCUACUUUCAGUGAAAACAUUCCCUGAGGCCUUUCAGCAGGCCUCUAGUUACUUUAGGGAUUAAAAACUAUUGAUUAAAAGAAAGAAAAGGGGUCAGGCACAGUGGCUUAUGCCUGUAAUGCUAGCACUUUACAGGAGGCUGAGGUGGGAGGAUCACCUGAGGUUAGGAGUUCAAGACCAGCCUGGCCAACGUGGCAAAACCCCAUAUCUACUUAAAUAAAUAAAUAGAUUGAGAGAUAGAAGGACAAGGAUAGAACAGAGAGAAUUUAAAGUCCUGUUCCUGGUUUUUGUUUUGUUUUGUUUUGUUUUCUUUGAAAACUUAGAGACUGAUGUUCAUAUUUCAAACUAGUAAGAUGGUGAAAAUACUGUGAGGGUUUUUUUUUUUGAGACAGAGUCUCUGUUGCCCAGGCUGGAGUGCAGUGGUGUGAUCUUAGCUCACUGCAAACUCUGCCCACCCCUCCUCUCUUUUUCCCACCCUGCAUUCAAGCAAUUCUCCUGCCUCAACCUCCUGAGUAGCUGGGAUUACAGGUGCGCACCACAAUGCCCAGCUAAUUUUUGUAUUUUUAAUAGAGACGAGGUUUCAUUAUGUUGAUCAGGCUGGUCUCGAACUCCUGACCUCGUAAUCUGCCUGCCUCACCCUCCCUAAGAGCUGGGAUUACAGGCGUGAGCCACCAUGCCUGGCCAAGCUUGUUUUUUAAAAAUAUGAUUCUUUUUUAUUUUUUCUUUUUUUACUUCCAAGCAAAUAUAUUCUAUGAUAUAAAAUAUGAUUUUGGAUGGGGGUACUUUAUAAAGUAUCUCUUUAUGUGAAAGCACUUGUCAUAUCCAAACACAGCAUAUAUUCAACCUAACCAAAUAUGUUUACACUUUUUCUUUCAGGAGACAAGGAUUCUUUGGGUCGCUUUCAAAUGGGAUCUUGGUGUUACUACAUUAUGCCUAUCUAUUGCCCUUAUAAUUUCACUUGGGACCAGGACUUAUCAUUCUGCAAAUGCUUGUUAUGCCAUUCUCAAUCUAUUUCCCCCUACCUUUUCACAUGAUUUGUGGUUAAUAGGACUCAAUAGAGUAAAAUUGCACAGUAGAAAAAAAGAAAGGAAAAAGCAGAAAGCCAGCUGGUAAUGUGUAUUGCAACUGGGGUGCUAUAAAAUUAGUAAGAUGAUGCAAUGAGAAUUUCCACUUUUGUAUUUCCUGACCUGCCUACUCAAAGUGGCUUUUAUAUCAAGGAAUGAUUUUCCUCGUUUUUUAAUAAAGGAAACCAAUUUGUGCUCAUGGAAGAAAGGUUCCUUUGCCAGCAGACUUGAAGUGAAUCUUACAGGAGCAAUGAAAGUAUUGCAUUUAUUAGCGUCUGACCCAGAGGAGGUUCAUUGAAAACCUUCGCUUGUUUUCAACGGAAUCCUUGUAGAUUUACAUAAUUAGAACCCUGAAGAACAGGCCCUACUGUCUAAAAAUGGCUUUUAUUCUUCUAAAGACAUAUAAACGGGUGUUUUAUAGAUGGGAAGACAUGACCUUAGAAAGGAGGGAGUUUUCAGAGGAUUUGCCAGGCUGUCAGGGGCUCUGCCUCCAGGCCCAAUGUGGCAGCGUGGCCUCAGGGCCUUCACCUCCCUACUCAAGGGCUGCAUGGAAGCCAACUGUCCAGGGAGUUUUAAAAAUCUUUUAAGGUCAGACCAAUUUGAGGGAUUUUUAAAAAGUGUCUAAAUGCCUCAUGAUUUCAGAAGGGUUUGCUAUGUGUAAUCCCAACUACUGUUUUCUUAAGAGUAGCAGAGGAUUAAAAAAAGCUCUCCAUGAAUGGUAUAACCAGGCUUCCUGGCUAGCCUGACUCAAGCAAUGUAAGAGAGAAUUAUUCUGUUUUCAUAAUUCAUAAGUGUAGGGGCAUGCAUCAGCAUAAAAACAACCUAUUAGAGAAAAAUAUCUAAUCGAUUACCUUUAUCACCUAUUAAGGUUUUAUAUUGUGCUUUAAGGUUUACAAAAUAAUUUAUCUCAUACUUUAUCUUAAUUUCUUGACAGUCUGUGAGGUGAGGUGGUAGUUUUAUCACCAUUUUACAAAGUGGGAAAUAAAGGUGGAGAACAGUCCUUUUAGGAACCUGGUUAUCCCCUUUGUAUAAUAAAACUUCUGAAGCUCGGAGUUUUUCAUUGGUUUACUGAAGGCUUAGUUAUGAGAGCCAGAAUUCAGCCCCAGGUCUGUGUAACUUCAAUUUGCACACUCAUUCCCAUUAUUACCCACAUGCUGUCCCUUUUAUUUUUAAUUUAUUAUGAAUUCAUUAAUUUAUUAACUUGGUGAUUCAACUUUAUUAGAUUCUGGUCGCUAAAGGCUUUAGUAACUUCAGAGUAAAACUUGAGAGAUGAGAUGUGAAAUGCAGCUUUUCUUGAGAGUUCCUUUUUCUGUGACAUUCAUCAACACUUCAUUGAGACUUGAAGCUUCCUCUGGCUGCUCUACCUUCAAGAGGCUUAGCUUUAGUCACUGAGAAAGACAAGGAAACUAAGAUAGAGUAUAGUAGCUUCCUCGGGUCUUAGGGAUCAGAGUCACAGCUAGUUACAGCUAGCCCUUUGUUAUUGAAAGAGGGGGAGCUAACAGUCUCACUAUCAAAAUUAAGACUAGAGAUGGCAAUAGGAGCUAGUGUCAGAAAAGCUUAAGGCAAAACAUAAAGUGAGGCUAGAACGAAGCUGGAGAAUGAGCAGGGGCCUUGGGCAGCACUCAGAACCUGGCUGGGGACCUGAAACUACAUGAGAUAAAAGAAUGGAGGGGUCCUAGCAGUCAGAGGUGAGAAGAACAGAGGCAGCUCAGCAGUUCCUGGUGAGCCUUGACAAGCCAGCUCAGCCAAAGUUUUGGGUGGGAGCCAGUCAUGGCACAGUUGAGUGAAGGAAGAGCAGUUUCAGGCACCCAGAACCAGACUCCCAUAACUCGUUUUCCACCUUAAGAGCCACCCAUUCCAUCCAAACCAUUUGCAAAAUUCUGCUAACAGAGAACCUCCCAGUAUACUGGCCACUCCUCAUCAUGCUUGUCUUUACUCUCUAAGAUGAAGCUGCCUUUCAAUGACGAGAUGGCAAACAGGUGGGUCCAGAAGAGGGGAAAAGAAGGAAGUCUGUAAAAUCAAAAUGCUGAAGAAUCUGCACCAAAUAAAGCCUUCUUUCCUUCUUCCUUU